RNAcentral lists this ribosomal RNA (468 nucleotides) under uncultured bacterium. Its description in RNAcentral is "partial 16S ribosomal RNA". It matches the Rfam family "Bacterial small subunit ribosomal RNA", at positions 28 to 507 of the family's 1533-position model. The record is from RNAcentral.
GACGAACGCUGGCGGCGUGCUUAACACAUGCAAGUCGAACGGACAGGCCCUGCUUUUGUGGGGUGCUCGAGUGGCGAACGGGUGAGUAACACGUGAGUAACAUGCCCUUGACUUUGGGAUAACUCCAGGAAACUGCGGCUAAUACCGGAUAGGAGCUCCUGCUGCAUGGUGGGGGUUGGAGAGAUUCGGCGGUUGGGGCUCGACUAGCGGCUUAUCCGCUUGUUGGGGGGGUAGUGGCUUACCAAGGUUUUGACGGGUAGCCGGCCUGAGAGGGUGACCGGCCACAUUGGGACUGAGAUACGGCCCAGACUCCUACGGGAGGCAGCAGUGGGGAAUAUUGCACAAUGGGCGGAAGCCUGAUGCAGCAACGCCGCGUGCGGGAUGACGGCCUUCGGGUUGUAAACCGCUGUCGCCUGUGACGAAGCGUGAGUGACGGUAAUGGGUAAAGAAGCACCGGCUAACUACGUG